Molecule: transfer RNA, 69 nt
Filed under: Mileewa amplimacula
Lineage: Eukaryota; Metazoa; Arthropoda; Insecta; Hemiptera; Cicadellidae
Description: tRNA-Val
Source: RNAcentral
CGGAUUGUAGCUUAUAUUAAAGUUUAUUAUUUACAUUAAUACGAAAAAUAUAUAUAUAUUUCCUUCUGA